RNAcentral lists this ribosomal RNA (468 nucleotides) under uncultured bacterium. RNAcentral describes it as "partial 16S ribosomal RNA". It matches the Rfam family "Bacterial small subunit ribosomal RNA", at positions 28 to 507 of the family's 1533-position model. The record is from RNAcentral.
GACGAACGCUGGCGGCGUGCUUAGCACAUGCAAGUCGAACGGAAAGGCCCUGCUUUUGUGGGGUGCUCGAGUGGCGAACGGGUGAGUAACACGUGAGUAACCUGCCCUUGACUUUGGGAUAACUUCAGGAAACUGGGGCUAAUACCGGAUAGGAGCUCCUGCUGCAUGGUGGGGGUUGGAAAGUUUCGGCGGUUGGGGAUGGACUCGCGGCUUAUCAGCUUGUUGGUGGGGUAGUGGCUUACCAAGGCUUUGACGGGUAGCCGGCCUGAGAGGGUGACCGGCCACAUUGGGACUGAGAUACGGACCAGACUCCUACGGGAGGCAGCAGUGGGGAAUAUUGCACAAUGGGCGGAAGCCUGAUGCAGCAACGCCGCGUGCGGGAUGACGGCCUUCGGGUUGUAAACCGCUUUCGCCUGUGACGAAGCGUGAGUGACGGUAAUGAGUAAAGAAGCACCGGCUAACUACGUG